GAUGAAGAACGCAGCGAAAUGCGAUAAGUAAUGUGAAUUGCAGAAUUCAGUGAAUCAUCGAAUCUUUGAACGCACAUUGCGCCCGCCAGCAUUCUGGCGGGCAUGCCUGUUCGAGCGUCAUUUCAACCCUCAAGCUCUGCUUGGUGUUGGGGCCCUACGGUUGACGUAGGCCCUUAAAGGUAGUGGCGGACCCUCUCGGAGCCUCCUUUGCGUAGUAACUAACGUCUCGCAUUGGGAUUCGGAGGGACUCUUGCCGUAAAACCCCCAAAUUUUCUAAUGGUUGACCUCGGAUCAGGUAGGAAUACCCGCUGAACUUAAGCAUAUCAAUAAGGGAGGA
This 337-nucleotide unclassified non-coding RNA is filed under the name soil metagenome. RNAcentral describes it as "partial contains 5.8S ribosomal RNA, internal transcribed spacer 2, and large subunit ribosomal RNA". The stretch from base 1 to 120 matches the Rfam family "5.8S ribosomal RNA", at positions 35 to 154 of the family's 154-position model. The record is from RNAcentral.